GUGUUGUUGGAUUGGAGACUUGAUCCUACAAGUAUCUGCAACUCUCCCUCUAUCCGAUGCGAGUAUGAACUCCUCUAUUCUAUGAACAUUCAUUUGCGGAUGUCGGUGACGUGUUGGACUUUGUUGGGAUGUGAACAGUGUCGUCAAAUGGGCUGCCCUAGACUUGCACGUCUUUUGCUUCCGAUUGUAAUAGGCUAGGCUUUGAUUAUUUUGUAAUAUUGGACUUGAGUCAUGUAUCGAAUAUUACAAUUUUUUUUGAA
Salvia hispanica is the source of this 260-nucleotide non-coding RNA. The record is from RefSeq and is a predicted model, not a curated record. NCBI's taxonomy places the organism in Eukaryota, Viridiplantae, Streptophyta, Magnoliopsida, Lamiales, Lamiaceae.